GGCGGCGUGCCUAAUACAUGCAAGUCGAGCGGACAGAUGGGAGCUUGCUCCCUGAAGUCAGCGGCGGACGGGUGAGUAACACGUGGGCAACCUGCCUGUAAGACUGGGAUAACUCCGGGAAACCGGGGCUAAUACCGGAUAAUUCUUUCCCUCACAUGAGGGAAAGCUGAAAGAUGGUUUCGGCUAUCACUUACAGAUGGGCCCGCGGCGCAUUAGCUAGUUGGUGAGGUAACGGCUCACCAAGGCAACGAUGCGUAGCCGACCUGAGAGGGUGAUCGGCCACACUGGGACUGAAACACGGCCCAAACUCCUACGGGAGGCAGCAGUAGGGAAUCUUCCGCAAUGGACGAAAGUCUGACGGAGCAACGCCGCGUGAGUGAUGAAGGUUUUCGGAUCGUAAAACUCUGUUGUUAGGGAAGAACAAGUACCGGAGUAACUGCCGGUACCUUGACGGUACCUAACCAGAAAGCCACGGCUAACUACGUGCCAGCAGCCGCGGUAAUACGUAGGUGGCAAGCGUUGUCCGGAAUUAUUGGGCGUAAAGCGCGCGCAGGCGGUUCCUUAAGUCUGAUGUGAAAGCCCCCGGCUCAACCGGGGAGGGUCAUUGGAAACUGGGGAACUUGAGUGCAGAAAAGAAGAGUGGAAUUCCACGUGUAGCGGUGAAAUGCGUAGAGAUGUGGAGGAACACCAGUGGCGAAGGCGACUCUUUGGUCUGUAACUGACGCUGAGGCGCGAAAGCGUGGGGAGCAAACAGGAUUAGAUACCCUGGUAGUCCACGCCGUAAACGAUGAGUGCUAAGUGUUAGAGGGUUUCCGCCCUUUAGUGCUGCAGCAAACGCAUUAAGCACUCCGCCUGGGGAGUACGGCCGCAAGG
This 873-nucleotide ribosomal RNA is filed under the name Cytobacillus firmus. RNAcentral's name for it is "bacterial SSU rRNA". It matches the Rfam family "Bacterial small subunit ribosomal RNA", at positions 38 to 893 of the family's 1533-position model. Lineage: Bacteria; Bacillati; Bacillota; Bacilli; Caryophanales; Bacillaceae. The record is from RNAcentral.